GGAUACCUUUUCGAAACUAAAAGAGCUAAGAUGGCGCCCAAGUUGAAGCCAAAGUCUCCAAGUAAGGGUUAUGGAAAUGGACUUGGAUCCUUUAUACUCGACUUUUAUCGCGACCCAGCAAAAUGGGUAAUUAUCAAACAUACUGGUAUAUUUAUUGCUGCAGUGCUUGCUGCAAGGGAAUUCUCAGAUAUUGAUUURAUGGCSCCACCUCAACCGCCUGGUCCUUGAAUGGGUGAAUGAUGGGGUUUAAGCAAAAACGUACAGACAUUUGGAGAUGGAGAAAGUGUGUGGAAGAAUCUACAAUUAUUGUAUAACUUGUACAUUGAUGUCAUUAUAUGCAUUUUUUUAUCAAGCAAUAAAUAAAGAUUACAAUUAUUA
Molecule: long non-coding RNA, 378 nt
Organism: Exaiptasia diaphana
Lineage: Eukaryota; Metazoa; Cnidaria; Anthozoa; Actiniaria; Aiptasiidae
Exons: 3
Source: RefSeq, a predicted model, not a curated record